This 424-nucleotide ribosomal RNA is filed under the name uncultured bacterium. RNAcentral describes it as "partial 16S ribosomal RNA". It matches the Rfam family "Bacterial small subunit ribosomal RNA", at positions 360 to 776 of the family's 1533-position model. The record is from RNAcentral.
AAUUUUGGACAAUGGGGGAAACCCUGAUCUAGCCAUCCCGCGUGUAUGAUGAAGGCCUUCGGGUUGUAGAGUACUCUUGCCAGAGAAGAAAAGGCAUCUCCUAUUACGGGAUGCGGUUGACGGUAUCUGCAGAAUAAGCACCGGCUAACUACGUGCCAGCAGCCGCGGUAAUACGUAGGGUGCAAGCGUUAAUCGGAAUUAUUUGGCGUAAAGCGUGUGUAGGCGGGUCGAAAAGAAAGAUGUGAAAUCUCAGAGCUCAACCUUGAAACUGCAUUUUUAACUGCCGAGCUAGAGUAUGUGAGAGGGAGGUAGAAUUUGACGUGUAGCAGUGAAAUGCUUAGAUAUGUGGAGGAAUACCGAUGGCGAAGGCAGCUUCCUGGGAUAAUACUGACGCUCAGAGACGAAAGCGUGGGGAGCAAACAGG